Molecule: ribosomal RNA, 497 nt
Filed under: uncultured bacterium
Lineage: Bacteria
Description: partial 16S ribosomal RNA
Rfam family: Bacterial small subunit ribosomal RNA
Source: RNAcentral
GAUGAACGCUGGCGGCGUGCCUAAUACAUGCCAGUCGAGCGAACAGACGAGGAGCUUGCUCCUCUGACGUUAGCGGCGGACGGGUGAGUAACACGUGGAUAACCUACCUAUAAGACUGGGAUAACUUCGGGAAACCGGAGCUAAUACCGGAUAAUAUAUUGAACCGCAUGGUUCAAUAGUGAAAGACGGUCUUGCUGUCACUUAUAGAUGGAUCCGCGCCGCAUUAGCUAGUUGGUAAGGUAACGGCUUACCAAGGCAACGAUGCGUAGCCGACCUGAGAGGGUGAUCGGCCACACUGGAACUGAGACACGGUCCAGACUCCUACGGGAGGCAGCAGUAGGGAAUCUUCCGCAAUGGGCGAAAGCCUGACGGAGCAACGCCGCGUGAGUGAUGAAGGUCUUCGGAUCGUAAAACUCUGUUAUUAGGGAAGAACAAAUGUGUAAGUAACUAUGCACGUCUUGACGGUACCUAAUCAGAAAGCCACGGCUAACUACGUG